RNAcentral lists this ribosomal RNA (393 nucleotides) under uncultured bacterium. Its description in RNAcentral is "partial 16S ribosomal RNA". It matches the Rfam family "Bacterial small subunit ribosomal RNA", at positions 523 to 918 of the family's 1533-position model. The record is from RNAcentral.
AUACGUAGGGGGCGAGCGUUAUCCGGAUUCAUUGGGUUUAAAGGGUGCGCAGGCGGCCGUGCAAGUCAGCGGUGAAAGCCCGGGGCUCAACCCCGGAAGUGCCGUUGAUACUGCAUGGCUGGAAUGCGGUCGAGGCGGGCGGGACGUGGCGUGGAGCGGUGGAAAGCGUAGAUAUGCCACAGAACGCCGAUAGCGGAGGCAGCUCGCCAGGCCUGCAUUGACGCUCGGGCACGAAAGCGUGGGGAUCGAACAGGAUUAGAUACCCUGGUAGUCCACGCCGUAAACGAUGGGCGCUCGUCGUCGGCGGCAGACAGUCGGCGGCCAAGCGAAAGCGAUAAGCGCCCCACCUGGGGAGUACGGUCGCAAGGCUGAAACUCAAAUGAAUUGACGGGG